Molecule: long non-coding RNA, 205 nt
Filed under: Oryza brachyantha (malo sina)
Lineage: Eukaryota; Viridiplantae; Streptophyta; Magnoliopsida; Poales; Poaceae
Description: long non-coding RNA (OBRA_LNC002468)
Source: RNAcentral
CGCACCCUCCGCGCUACCGCGGCCGCCCGCAGCCGCCUCAUCGACCUCCUCCUCCUCCUCGUCGCCGUCGACGUCUUCUUCACCUUCGCCUCCAUAGCCGAUCGAUCGAUAGAAAGCUCCCUAGCUCUCGUCUCAAACGAGGCGAGGCGAGGAGAUGGCGGCCGGUGAAGCUAGCUGGAGGACGACGAGGUGAGCUAAGCUAAGC